UACCCGCGGUACCGACGGCACGGUGCGAGCCGUGCCUCGAGCGCGCGCGACACCGGCUCGGGUCCGGUUUCGAGAACGCGCGGCCCCUGCCUCGAGCGCACGCGGCACCGACCCGGCCUCGUCUGCGUGCGGGUACGGCCUCGAGGAAUACAUAUAUUGUAAAUGGUUCCUUCUUGUUGACCUUCGGGAUCUCAGCCUUUUUCUUCGUUAUCUCGUCUCCUUCGCCGACCUCCUGUUGCCCGCGUGAUGAGCCAAGUCAAUCUGGUCGGGGUAUUGGGUGUCGGUGUUGCCACCAGAACACAGGUUUCCAAGGAAUAGGAAGGGGUUGUCCGUAGUGGAGGAGAAGAAGUGUUCCAGGUAGCAGAGAAGGAUGGUGGUUUAGUUGGGGUCUUGACUGGUUACGUGAACCCUAGCCUGGUGGGUGGUACGGUUAGGAGUCGGAGAGGCGCUUCGGCGACAGAGCGGAGGGACGUUUUGCUCCUAACAGUUCUAAUUCAUCCCACGUCUUGGAACGCAAAUGCUGCAGCUCCUAUUCCUAGUGGUACGAGUUCGUUGUCCUAGUAGGCCCCUUACUUUCGCCGUCGUCCGGAGACAUGGAGCCCUAUCUGAAACCUUGAAGGCCGCGGUCUAUGCGUGAAUAGCUGUUCGUUCCCCGGUAGGUAAGGCUUCCGUUUUCUUGAAUGGGUCGACAACCUGUUUGGUGGUUGACCCGUUCGAGGACCUCUCUUCGUGAGAAGGUCGAAGAACCGCUGUAAGGCAGGCAAGUGGUCGGUAGUCAGAGUAGGUAGAGGUAACUACCCUGAAGUAGUUGGUGAGAGUAGUAACUAUCUUUGUUACCUCUCGAAGAACGGCCGGGAAAGGAGAUGUUACUCUCGAAGGGACUACGCGACGGGUACUAGUCGAGCUAACGAGGGCGUUUAGUGUGUCACACGAGACCAAGCAGGUGGGAUACGUUCGAGCAGAGUACCACCUUGUUCGUAACAAACUUACCGCCGCUACUAAGCCGCUAUGACUACGUGGUUAGUCUGACCGACGACACCGAAAACGUACCUCUUAUGCCGCAAACACUAAUGUUGUUAUGAGAGUUCUCGUGGGCCUCAAGGGUAACCGGGUUAGUUUCUUCUACACGCGAGUGUUAUACCGAAAAGCUUACUGACACACCAGACAUGACCCUGUUGGCUGUCGUAGCGACGGAAAGAACGUCGUGCUUGGUGACUAGGUCCUUUUCGCCACUGCAGCGACCCAAGUUGCGAGCGCUAGUUCGAGCAGUCGUCUCAGGCGCACCUUCUGCGUUCCAAGCCGCAGAUGUCGGUGGCGGACCUGCUGGUCACCGAGCAGCCGCCCCGCAGGUUGUCGCCCCCACACCACGAGGCCGUUGAGAAGUCGUUGCUGGUCGACCACUGCGACUCGUCCCUGUAGCUGGGCAGUAGAGGAAGGGGAGAACUGAUGAUGGGAGACGGGUUCUUCCCGCUCUCCAAGGGACAGAGACUGGGGCUGUACCUCGGCUCCGACCUCGGAGCUGGGCUGUCGCUACGGCUCAUGAACGUGCCGUAUAACCUCAGGUACCGCGCGUAACUCCAGCGAUUAAUUGUGAGAGCGCGGGAACUAUUGUCCUCGUGAAAAAGCUCUUUCUAUUCGUCAUCGAGCAUGCUUGACUUGACCAAUGACUUUACAACGACUUAUAUUUAUACCUACGUCCGGUCACCCAUGUUUGACGACUUCCUCGAGCCGCGUUGCGGCCACCUCCUCCAGAAAUGCCGUCCCCCUCCGCGCGUCUUACUCUUCACCUGCCGUUAGGCCCUCUCUCAGGAACCCCACGGACAAACCUUCCGUCUCGUCUGUCUCCGCCGCAUGCCUCGACGUAACGAUCGUGAGUCCCCACGAUGGUGCCCGAGUACUUUUGUGUGAGUCCCCACGGUAAAAGAAAAGUUAGGGUCAUCUUAGUAACUCAAGUUAUAUGGGGAAAAAUUUACUCAUUUUUUAGAUGUUAGUAUUGAUCUGGCUCGUAACGUUGGGAACGUUUAAGUUUCACGUUAUUUAAACAACGAAAUGACUGUAAUACAUUCAUAUAGUCCCUGCCACAUACUUGAUACAUCGGUUCUAUUGUAAAACAGAGUGAGUUACCAAACUG
RNAcentral lists this ribosomal RNA (2131 nucleotides) under Triticum aestivum (bread wheat). Its description in RNAcentral is "partial small subunit ribosomal RNA". Lineage: Eukaryota; Viridiplantae; Streptophyta; Magnoliopsida; Poales; Poaceae. The record is from RNAcentral.